UACGUAGGGUGCGAGCGUUAAUCGGAAUUACUGGGCGUAAAGCGUGCGCAGGCGGUCUUGCAAGACAGAUGUGAAAUCCCCGGGCUUAACCUGGGAACUGCAUUUGUGACUGCAAGGCUAGAGUACGGUAGAGGGGGAUGGAAUUCCGCGUGUAGCAGUGAAAUGCGUAGAUAUGCGGAGGAACACCGAUGGCGAAGGCAAUCCCCUGGACCUGUACUGACGCUCAUGCACGAAAGCGUGGGGAGCAAACAGG
RNAcentral lists this ribosomal RNA (253 nucleotides) under uncultured bacterium. RNAcentral's name for it is "partial 16S ribosomal RNA". It matches the Rfam family "Bacterial small subunit ribosomal RNA", at positions 524 to 776 of the family's 1533-position model. The record is from RNAcentral.